This 240-nucleotide unclassified non-coding RNA is filed under the name soil metagenome. RNAcentral's name for it is "partial contains 5.8S ribosomal RNA, internal transcribed spacer 2, and large subunit ribosomal RNA". The record is from RNAcentral.
AACCUAGCACACCUGCGGUGUGUACCUGCGGAAGGAUCAUCAUCGAAUUCAUAUCCCUCCACUUCCGGAGGGGGACCCAUGAUAAACCCUUCUGUGCAUCGUAAACCGUUCAUUUUGGCUGGUUUUGGUGGUGAGCGUGAGCUCGUCUCCAACCUCGCGUUCUCUCCCCCUAAGGGGGGUGGUGUUACGCGUGGCGGCCUGCCGAAGUCCUCCCAUUAAAAACACGUUUUCGAACACGUC